Temnothorax curvispinosus is the source of this 1519-nucleotide long non-coding RNA. RefSeq lists it as uncharacterized. Lineage: Eukaryota; Metazoa; Arthropoda; Insecta; Hymenoptera; Formicidae. The record is from RefSeq and is a predicted model, not a curated record. The transcript is spliced from 5 exons.
AGAUUAGUGUUGCAUACGAGUACAACUCUAUUACUGGUCGCACUGCAUCGCACUGGUAAUUCCGUUUUUACCGGACAACAGGGCAACUAAACACAAUCGCCGCCAAUUGUAUAAACGGUUCGUUGCGUCGCAUUUUCGGGAGUGCCGCUCGAAAUCGUUGAAUUUUCGAAUAUGACAAUUAAAAUCGUCACAUUUUCGGGAGUGCCGUUCGAAGUUGUCGUAUUAUCCGGAAGCGGAUCGCGCGAUUUUAAUAAUUAGCAUAUAACUGCGUCAAUUUCCACGUUCUCAGACGUGACGGCUGUCUCGUGCGUGGUCCUGUGCGGAAAGGUGCCAGGAUUGCAUAACAAGAACUGCCCAGAUAAUUGACUUCACUGUGCGUGGAAGGGUGCUACCAUGACGUGUCGGUGGCGAGGGGAGAUGAUCCUCAUUGUAGAAAACUUUCUACUUUUCGAGGAUCUCUCUUCUCUCUGUCGAACACUAUUCAACUGGCCACGCGGGGUUAAGUCCUUAAUCGGGCAAAUCGAGUCAGUUGUCCGGCUCUGAACGCGUCGAGAUAACGCGGCUAUCGCGGAAAUAAUAUAAUCGGGCGUUAAUUCGCGUUUCGGGAUCGUCGCGUAAAAUAUCGGUUUUUAAUAAUUAGCAUAUAACUGCGUCAAUUUCCACGUUCUUAGACGUGACGGCUGUCUCGUGCGUGGUCCUGUGCGGCAAGGUGCCAGGAUUGCAUAACAAGAACUGCCCAGAUAAUUGACUUCACUGUGCGUGGAAGGGUGCUACCAUGACGUGUCGGUGGCGAGGAGAGAUGAUCCUCAUUGUAGAAAGCUCGCUUUCUACUUUUCGAGGAUCUCUCUUCUCUCUGUCGAACACUAUUCAACUGGCCACGCGGGGAAAAGUCCUUAAUCGGGCAAAUCGAGUCAGUUGUCCGGUUCUGAACGCGUCGAGAUAACGCGGUUAUCGCGGGCGAUUUUUCCACGAACAAACUCGGUCGUUUACGUAACGUUUUCAGAAGUGAGGUAUUAAAUAUCGCGCGAUUAUUGUUAUCCGCGUGGUGCCGGUGAAGUUGUGUCGGACAUCGAGGGAGCUGACAACCCGAGAGGACAGCCUGAGAGGAGGAGGAGGUCUAGAAGAGACGUCAGGCGCCAGCAAAACAACAUUGUGAAAAUAACGACGCGAAAAGUGUCGCAUCGAGGGAGCUGACAACUCGAGAGGACAGCCUGAGAGGAGGAGGAGGCUUGGGAGAGAGAGGCAUCGGGCGUCAGCGGAACAACUUUGCGAAUCAACGUAGCUACGUGGCAGAUAUAAUUCCGCUGUUGCGCAUCGGUGUCCAACGGGAAAAAAGGACGGUAACGAGGUGAAGGCAACCGACUGGUGAAACACCCGAUUCACAAAGAGAUUCACCGAGAAAACAGGGCAGCGGCUUUUGCGUCUCGCUGCGAAAAUAAGCAUCCGAGGCCCUCGCCAGGAAAACGUGGGAAGUUAGUGGCGAGUUCAAUAUAUAGUUAGUAAGACAUAACAUUUUUGU